Molecule: non-coding RNA, 30 nt
Filed under: Mus musculus (house mouse)
Lineage: Eukaryota; Metazoa; Chordata; Mammalia; Rodentia; Muridae
Source: RNAcentral
UCAGAAGAAAAACGAUUGUCAUCCCAAAGC